This 3684-nucleotide long non-coding RNA is filed under the name Olea europaea subsp. europaea. Lineage: Eukaryota; Viridiplantae; Streptophyta; Magnoliopsida; Lamiales; Oleaceae. The record is from RNAcentral.
GUUUUACAAAAAAAUGAAUGAAAAAAGAAAAAAAAUUACAAGAAUCCAAUUUAAUUUUUCAUAGAAAAUAGAGAUAAAUAAUAAGAGAGAGAAAGAAAGAUAAAUGUAAUAUAAUCAAUAGAAAAAAAUAUGUUCAUAGAAGGUUAAAGGAAAGAGAGAUUGAAAAAUAAAAUACCUCAAAAUCUCGUGAUUAAUGUGAAACAAAUUUUAAGAUUUUAUGUGAGUACUUCUGCUUAAAGGUUAAUACUCUAGAGACUUUUAUAAAAGUCCCUAGAAGUCAUUAAAAUUUGAAUACCCCAAGACUUAUAGAGAUUUCUAAAAAAUUUUAAUUGAAUAUACCGUAACAGUUUUUAAAAGUCUAUAAAAGCCUCAAUUGAAUACCUCUAAACUUACAAGGUUUUUUUUUUUUUGUCAUGCUACUUUAAACCAUUUUGUUAAAAUAAUUAGAAUUAAUUUGAGUAGUCCGUGAUCUUUUAUACCAGGCAAAACUAAAGUAAGCGAAAGUAGGCUAUGAAUUAUUGAAUAAAUGAUGUAAAACACUAAUAGGAAAAAACAAGAGGCUACAAAAAUGACACAAAAACAACAAUUGAAGUUCUCAUCCUUAGAACUUUAAACUAAUGUAAUCGGGUGCCUAACACGAACAACUUUAAUCUAACAAGUAACUAGCUAAAAUGUGCCGAGUUGAGUAAUUAACUCUUUAUUUAAUCUCCUAAGACAUUCACAACCUAAUAUAAAAGAAAAUCAUUAAAUCAUUGCUUAUAUUUAGUUAAGAAUACAUUUGUGACGAAAAGUUCAAUACAAUUAAUACCAAAUGUUCAUAUGAAGAACUGAAAAUAGAUAAGAAAAUAGACAAGUAAGUUCAUUUGAACUAACACACGAAUAUCUUUCACGUUUAUGAAUGGAUUUUUCUAAAACUUACAUACAUUUAUUUUUAACAUUAACCAAUUAAUGUGCAAGGCACGUUAACCACACUAGUAGACAUAAAUAAGUGUACAUAUUUUACACUAUUGUAUAUCUUUCUGCAGUCCUAGAAUCUAACUGUCUUUCUGCUGAAAAAUCUCAACUUUCUUGAUGGAAACUACUGGGUUUUCUUCUCCGAGACCAGAUGCUUUUCCGACACGUCUUAGGGUUCUUGUUGUUGAUGAUGAUCCCACCUGGUUGAAGAUUCUUGAGAAGAUGCUCAAGAAGUGUUCGUAUCAAGGUUCUCUUAGAAUAAAUUUAUCAAUUUUUUUUAGUGAUUCUAAUAUUAUUUUUAUUGCAUGGUUUAUCAGUGCAAUUAUCUUCUUUUUUCAUGUGGUCAAUUAUCUUCUUGACAUAUUAGUUCAUAGUUAAUUUUCACUUUUUUGUUCUUUUGAUUUUUGGAGGGAUUUUAUUUUUGUGUUAUACAGAGGUUUUGAGUUGGUUUGUGGGACAUUUUAUCUGAGAUUUUUAUUUUUUUUAUGUUUGGUAUUUUGCAAGAAAAAUAUGCUAAAAUCUUAUUUAUUAUAUUGUCUUGUCCUAUCCAGUACUAUAUACUGAAAAACAGUUCACAUACUAAUUUUUUGUGAGAGCUUGAAGUCUGCAACUAUGACUUGCUUGGUUUUGGAAUUGAAUUUUCAUUUUUUUCCCCUUUUUUUUAUGUGUUUUCGCUCAAAAGUUAUAUAUCUUGGUUAUAGUAUGAUGGUUCCUGGUGAAGUUCAGUGAUGAGAUAUAAAGUUUUGAGUUUAAUCCUUGUGCAAUUGUGUAAUGAUACCAAAUGUAUGCCUUAUUGAUUUGUUGAUUUAAUUUGAAAAAGAAAGUUUCCAUAUCUCUUUCCAAUUUUGUCUCGAUUAGUUCACAAUAUUGAAUAACAGAUUUUUCCAUUCGGUUUCCUUUUUCCUUUAGUUUCACAAUUUUGUUCCCUUUUUUGUCAACCCUAAGCUCACCCGCUCCCUCAACUUCUAAUGUACAGAAUCUCGAACUGGAAUUCUGUACAACCCAGCAGUGACCACCCAGAAGUCAAAGCACCGCCGACGAGGACCACCGAUUUUUUGACACGGUUUGCCUUUUCCUUUAGUUUCGAAUUUUUUUUUUUAGUUUUCUAUAUUUUUUCGUUCAGUCAAUCACAAAUUAAAGAGGACAAUGUUGCAAGUUGAUAUUCAUGUUCCGAACUAAGAGGAAAUAUUUGUUGUUGCUUUUGACAGUGAAAAGAUACUCAAUAUCUAGUGCCACUAUUCUUUUCAAGUUUCACUGCGCGUAAUGAAUAUCCAAGGUUUACGCUUUUGUCUUCUCUCUGUCCAAUUCUAAAUUCUGUUUUUGGCGAGAAAUAAAAAAACUUAACCGAAUUAUGGGGAAGAUAACGAGGUUGAUUACUGGUGGGGUGCAGUACAAUGAAGUGGGUGUUGGUUUAUGUGAAUUUUUUUUUUGUUAUGAGACAUUGGAUGCACAAUCUUCUCUCCUGUCCAAUUCCAAAAUUCAAUUGUUGUGUUAUGAGACAUUGGAUUGGUUUCCUAAUUAAUUAAUGGUAUAUUUUAUCACGUGAUUGUGAAUUUCUGAGACGAGCAAGAUUGAACUUGGGAAAAAAGAUGAUGCAGUUUCUACACUUGUGUCUUUUGACUUUUCUCCUAUCCAAUUCCAAAUUCAUUUUUGGCGUUACGAGACAUUGUAUGCAUAAUGUUAACCUCUGUCGAAAGUCCUAUUCCGAAUAGAGGUAUUGUGUGAAGAUACAUAAGCUGUCUUUUCUUAUUAAUUAAUGAUUGUUGUUAUCAUCUUAUCGUACAUUUGUGAGGCUUGUACGACUGAACUUAGGCAAAAAAAUAUGAUGCUGAUUCUUAGGAAGUGUUGAGGAUCUUGGGAGCAGUGUAUUAGUGUAUAACAAAAAGAUGUAUUAUCACAUCAUAGUUGAAUAUUCAAAAUCCAGUUCAGCGAAGCAUGUUUUGAUUAUUGGUACUUAGAGUGAGUGCUUGAAGAUCAGCUGUGUUGGAUAAAGAGAGGGAGAGUGUAUUUUUAAUGAAUUUGGGUAGCAUGGUUUUUGUUUAAUGGUUCAAUCCACUCUAUUAUGUUAUAUUGACUUGAGUUUCGCUUCACCCGCUUGAAUAAUCCUAUACUCGUAUGUUAUGUGGUGUACUAGGGAAUAUAACAAUUUAACACAUAUGCUAUGCAGAUUUGUAAAUCAUAGGACGUGCUUAUCAUUUUUGUCAGAAUUGUAAUCGUAUCUGCUCCUAAUAAAGAUAAAAAUUUACACAAUCUUAAUUCGAAUGUUUUGAUGCUAUGAAGUUGUCAUUAUUGGUGAUAUUGCUCAAUAUUAAGAGAAUUUUGUAGUUGAAUGGAACUUUCAUUUAUUUAAUACUCCUCACUUAUCUUUCUAGCUUCAUCACUUUCGAAUGUUAUAUGUCAGACUUUUCAUUGUUUAAGGCUUACAUUUUAUCUUGUUUUCAUACAACGCAGACAUUGAAAUCAUGUCCAAUACCAUGUUGGAACCAAUCGAUGUCCCUGUCAAAGAAAGAGCGACGUUGACAAUGUUCCACUUUGGUUGACUGUGGAGAAUGCAUGGAGGUACAUUUUAUUUUAUAUUAUUGUAUAUUUAUUUUUUGGGAAAUGUUGGUUAUGUUCAAGUGGCAUUCACUGUCAAAGAAACUGUGUGGAUUUAAUACAGACAAUGUUGGUACGGAAAUUAUUUUUUGCCCACUUUGUAAGUUUCUUGCUUUUUGAACUCAUUCGACUUAG